AGUUUUGGUCCUAAACUUGCCAUUGUUUUUUAUCAAAAUUAUACAUGCAAGCCUCCACACACCAGUGAGAAUGCCCACACACCCCCAAACAGCAAGCUGGAGCAGGCAUCAGGACACGACACUUUUAGCCGAAAACGCCUUGCUCAUGCCACACCCCCACGGGCCCACAGCAGUAAUUAACAUUAAAACAUGAGCGAAAGCUCGACUUAGUUAUGAUAAAAAUGGCCGGUAAAUUUCGUGCCAGCCACCGCGGUUAUACGAAAGGCCAGAAACAACAGCCAGCGGCGUAAAACGUGGCUCAGGAUAACAAUAACCACUAAAGGAGAACAGCUGCCAAGUUGUAAAACGCUACUGCAUGUUAGAACCACAAUAACACCUUUAACCCCGGCCCCCUCCACGAAAGCUAAGACACAAACUGGGAUUAGAUACCCCACUAUGCCUAGCCAUAAACACAAAUAGUGUAAAUACAACACUAUUCGCCAGAGAACUACAAGCGAAAAGCUAGAAACUCCAAGGACUUGGCGGUGCUUCAUAUCAACCUAGAGGAGCCUGUCCUACAAUCGAUACCCCACGUUUAACCUUACCCCUCCUAGACACUCAGCCUAUAUACCGCCGCCGUCAGCCCACCUUAUGAAAGAAAUAAAGUGAGCAAAAAAGUUAACAACUAAUACGUCAGGUCAAGGUGUAGCACACGGAGCGGCAGAGAUGGGCUACAUUUUUUCAAAGAAAAAAUACGGAUAGAAAACUGAAACAUUACCCCUGAAGGCGGAUUUAGUAGUAAAAUAAAUAAGAAUAAUUAUCUAAAACCUGCU
This 812-nucleotide non-coding RNA is filed under the name Coeranoscincus frontalis. RNAcentral's name for it is "partial 12S ribosomal RNA". It matches the Rfam family "Bacterial small subunit ribosomal RNA", at positions 9 to 1374 of the family's 1533-position model. Lineage: Eukaryota; Metazoa; Chordata; Lepidosauria; Squamata; Scincidae. The record is from RNAcentral.